GCCAGCACGUAAUAGUGGGGAUCGUGAGAGAUGCCGGGGUCAACUCGGAGGAAGGUGGGGAUGACGUCAAUUCAUCAUGCCCCUUAUGUCCAGGGCUUCACACAUGSUACAAUGGCCGGUACAAAGGGCUGCGAUGCCGUGAGGUGGAGCGAAUCCUUUCAAACCCGGUCUCAGUUCGGAUCGGGGUUUGCAACUCGACCCCGUGAAGUCGGAGUCGCUAGUAAUCGCAGAUCAGCAACGCUGCGGUGAAUACGUUCCCGGGCCUUGUACACACCGCCCGUCACGUCAUGAAAGUCGGUAACACCCGAAGCCGGUGGCCUAACCCCUUGUGNGAGGGAGCCGUCGAAGGUGGGAUCGGCGAUUGGGACGAAGUCGUAACAAGGUAGCAGUACCGGAAGUG
This 400-nucleotide ribosomal RNA is filed under the name Mycobacterium sp. 1032b. Its description in RNAcentral is "bacterial SSU rRNA". It matches the Rfam family "Bacterial small subunit ribosomal RNA", at positions 1117 to 1514 of the family's 1533-position model. Lineage: Bacteria; Bacillati; Actinomycetota; Actinomycetes; Mycobacteriales; Mycobacteriaceae. The record is from RNAcentral.